GGGUGUGGCGGAGGCUUACCAUGCAAGUCGAGCGGAGUGAUGGUGCUUGCACUAUCACUUAGCGGCGGACGGGUGAGUAAUGCUUAGGAAUCUGCCUAUUAGUGGGGGACAACAUUUCGAAAGGAAUGCUAAUACCGCAUACGUCCUACGGGAGAAAGCAGGGGAUCUUCGGACCUUGCGCUAAUAGAUGAGCCUAAGUCGGAUUAGCUAGUUGGUGGGGUAAAGGCCUACCAAGGCGACGAUCUGUAGCGGGUCUGAGAGGAUGAUCCGCCACACUGGGACUGAGACACGGCCCAGACUCCUACGGGAGGCAGCAGUGGGGAAUAUUGGACAAUGGGCGCAAGCCUGAUCCAGCCAUGCCGCGUGUGUGAAGAAGGCCUUAUGGUUGUAAAGCACUUUAAGCGAGGAGGAGGCUACUGAAGUUAAUACCUUCAGAUAGUGGACGUUACUCGCAGAAUAAGCACCGGCUAACUCUGUGCCAGCAGCCGCGGUAAUACAGAGGGUGCAAGCGUUAAUCGGAUUUACUGGGCGUAAAGCGCGCGUAGGCGGCUAAUUAAGUCAAAUGUGAAAUCCCCGAGCUUAACUUGGGAAUUGCAUUCGAUACUGGUUAGCUAGAGUGUGGGAGAGGAUGGUAGAAUUCCAGGUGUAGCGGUGAAAUGCGUAGAGAUCUGGAGGAAUACCGAUGGCGAAGGCAGCCAUCUGGCCUAACACUGACGCUGAGGUGCGAAAGCAUGGGGAGCAAACAGGAUUAGAUACCCUGGUAGUCCAUGCCGUAAACGAUGUCUACUAGCCGUUGGGGCCUUUGAGGCUUUAGUGGCGCAGCUAACGCGAUAAGUAGACCGCCUGGGGAGUACGGUCGCAAGACUAAAACUCAAAUGAAUUGACGGGGGCCCGCACAAGCGGUGGAGCAUGUGGUUUAAUUCGAUGCAACGCGAAGAACCUUACCUGGCCUUGACAUAGUAAGAACUUUCCAGAGAUGGAUU
This 983-nucleotide ribosomal RNA is filed under the name Acinetobacter sp. USTB-X. Its description in RNAcentral is "bacterial SSU rRNA". It matches the Rfam family "Bacterial small subunit ribosomal RNA", at positions 31 to 1012 of the family's 1533-position model. Lineage: Bacteria; Pseudomonadati; Pseudomonadota; Gammaproteobacteria; Moraxellales; Moraxellaceae. The record is from RNAcentral.